RNAcentral lists this long non-coding RNA (2168 nucleotides) under Nicotiana tabacum (common tobacco). RNAcentral's name for it is "long non-coding RNA (NTAB_LNC013805)". The record is from RNAcentral. Lineage: Eukaryota; Viridiplantae; Streptophyta; Magnoliopsida; Solanales; Solanaceae.
AAAAGAGAGAAAAAUGACAAGAAGAAAAGGAAAAAAGAGGACGAACUAAACGAGGCAAAGCACGUUUUUGUUCUUCUUCAAUACGAUACAUGGAGCGCUAAUCUAUCACUUUCCUCUCUUAGCUCGGUUCCUCUCCAAUACAAAUACAGAACGGUGGUUGAUCUGCUUGGUUUGUCGUCCCUUCUUGUAAACUCUAUAUAGAAUUAAUUCCUUUCAUGGCCCUUCUUUCAAAUUCAAAUUGUUUCUGCCAAUUUUCGUCGUUUUACUUUGUUCUACCUGAAUGUGAUUAUGGGCUUUGCUUUAGGUGUAAUUUAUGAUUUUUAAAAUUACAUUUUAGAUUUUUAUAGAUGUGUUUGAUGUUGUAUUAAGUUGAGAACAGCAUAGGAUCGCAUUAUCUGCGAUCUCUAUGUAUCCAUUUCUUCUUUUGUUUGUUCUCAUUUAUGGGUUCCCCACGAUCGUUAAUGCUUAGAAAACGAUCUUAAAAGUAGUUAACUAGUUAUAAAAGAGCUGAACGAAAGUAGUCCCCGGCCUUUGGAUCUAUUAUAAGAUCUAUCACUUGAUGUCUGAGUUAGGUACAUGUGGUGAUAAGAGCGUAGCGCGUGAUAUAUGAGUUAAAACGGACAAUUUUUCCCCUCCUUUUAAGAGCGUAAUAAUUGGCACAUGUCACGGGUUUAAACCCCGUGGCUAAUAAAGGGUAUUUAAGCAGAGGCGGCUCAACUAGAGUCGAAGUGUAAACCUAAAUAACGUUAGCUACUUUAACUUUUAGAGGCCUAAAGUAGCGAUUUUAUUGCUUUGCCGUUAAAGCCACCAUUGUAUUUAAGUAAACAAGGAUAGAGGAGCGAAUCCAUUAUCUAUCGAAUUUCAGAUCAUACGUCAGACUUAAAAAUUUCUCAGUUAUAACAAAAGAGAGCUUAGCAAAAGAAAUGCUAGAAACAGAAAGGAAAAGUAACAUAGAGUGUCUACGUUAGGCUGCCUGAAAUUAACUUAUACUGUAUGUAAUAUCAUAGUUUUAGUAUACUGUCAUCUUCUCAAAUGACCUUUUAAUUUAGUGUGCCGACUUUCAGAAUAACAUUAUUGAUAUUGUUGUUACACUAUACAACUUCUUGUAGUCUUUGUUGGAAUAGGUUAGCUAAACAUAUACAUAUGUUGUGUAUGUGUAUACAUUAUAUGUGUGUGCACACAUAAACACAUAUAUACAUACAUGUACUCACAGUUGCAGGUGUAGUUGUAUAACAAAAGAAACUUCAUUAUAGUACACAACUUAUUUGCUUUAUUGGACACUGUUGCUUUCACAUAUUUUACAUUUUACUAAUUGAUCUGAUCUCUUUCCUUUAAUUGUAGGAAAUUUUGAAAUGGACAAGACUUGGAUGCGUUGUACCAAUAGACUGAGCAAUGUGUAUUUAAAAGGAGUUAGACAAUUUUCCCCACUUUGCAAUUAAGCACUCAGAAUUAGAAGGUGACAUUCCUUGCACUUGUAAGAGAUGCAACAAUGGUUUGCACCGCACUAGGGAUGAAGUUGAGAACAUUUAAUAAUUUUUGGGAUCGUCAAAGGAUACACUCGUUGGCUUUUAACCUGUUUGGCCAAGCUUUUUUUUGGCCAAAAGUGUUUUUUUUUUCAAAAGCACUUUUGACCAAAAAUUGAGGUGUUUGGCCAAGUUUUUGGAAGGAAAAAAAGUAAUUUUGAGGAGAAGCAAAAAAAAGUAAUUUAUUUCCAAAAGCACUUUUUUGAGAAGCACUUUUGAGAAAAAUACACUUAGAAUCAGUUUUUUAAAGCUUGGCCAAACACUAAUUGCUACUCAGAAAUGCUUUUCAAACUAAUUAGCCAAACACAAACUGUUUCUUACCGAAAGUACUUUUAAAAAAGAACUUUAAAAAAAACACUUUUUAAAAUAAGUUACUUUUGCAGCUUGGUGAAACGGGCUAUUUAUCACAGAGAAAUUGUGCCCAAUCAUGAAGACGAGAGGAAGUAAGGAAAGAGAAAGGUGAUGUACAUUUGAAAUGAUUUAUGAUGUUUCUAUUCAUGAGAUGAUGGAUAAUUUUAGUGGGGUUAUGUUUAAACAUGGCACUGCCUAAUAUAAUAAUUGUAAGUUCUUUCAUGAACUUUUGCUGUGUUAAUUAGAGUUCAAGUUUAUUUUACAAUUUUUAAUUCAAAUCAAUUAUAAUUUAAA